Small nucleolar RNA from Heterocephalus glaber (naked mole-rat), 132 nucleotides. Ensembl annotates it as small nucleolar RNA, H/ACA box 68. The record is from Ensembl. Lineage: Eukaryota; Metazoa; Chordata; Mammalia; Rodentia; Bathyergidae.
UUUGCACCUCAACCCAAGAAUUGCCGCUUCUUGUAGUGGCGGUUUAAACAGGGGUGCACACAGCAAGUGGAUCUCGUCGCCUUUGGGGGCUGUGACUGUGCCCCUCAAAGUGAACUCAGAGGUUCCACACCC